CCUGUUUGCCAUUGCAAAGUUGUUAACCCCAGAGUCUUCUGGCUGCCGCUGCCUCCUCUGCUUUGAAUCGUCUGUGGAUAUUUUUCCGAUUUUUCCCAAACGCCCACAGAUCCUGGGGGAAGCCACCCCAUUCAGCUACCGAUCAUGGAAGAAAGUAUUACUUUUUAUUUACCAAAUAUUUUAAAGAUGUUUGAAGAUCCAUAUGCUGCAUGGAGGCUGUUGUUUCUAGGGACACAAGUAUCCAGCCUAUAUUGUUACAAUAAUUUUUCAAGAACUGGCUUCUUCUUUGCCCACACUGAUGGAAGUGAGGGGGUCCAGACCUGAGGAAUAGCUGGACACUCCAACCAGUUCUCCAGGGAGAAGCAAUAGUUGACUGCCUAAUGAACGCCCCGUUUAGCUGGAAGACUAGCCCUCCAUUAACUCUUCAGCUGUAAGUUAUUUUGAUGCCCUUGAGAGUGUCUUGUACAAAUUGUAUUAAAUUUACUAGUUUAAAAACUAAUUCUUCUUUAUAUUUUUAUUUAGUUUACAAAUUUGUCCUAUUUAUAAACCUUGCGAGUUUUAGAAAUCAUGCUCCUUUAAAUAAUAUUUGGUCUCUAACCUUAAACACCUCCUAGCAUUUUAAGUGGUAUUUAUAAAUUUACUGCAUUCUAUUUCUUUCUUGGGUACUUCGUAAAUAUUUUCAAGACU
Molecule: long non-coding RNA, 687 nt
Filed under: Dasypus novemcinctus (nine-banded armadillo)
Lineage: Eukaryota; Metazoa; Chordata; Mammalia; Cingulata; Dasypodidae
Description: lncRNA (ENSDNOG00000050489.1)
Source: RNAcentral